Molecule: unclassified non-coding RNA, 305 nt
Filed under: plant metagenome
Description: partial contains 5.8S ribosomal RNA, internal transcribed spacer 2, and large subunit ribosomal RNA
Rfam family: 5.8S ribosomal RNA (bases 1-105)
Source: RNAcentral
GAAAUGCGAUAAGUAAUGUGAAUUGCAGAAUUCAGUGAAUCAUCGAAUCUUUGAACGCACAUUGCGCCCGCCAGUAUUCCGGCGGGCAUGCCUGUUCGAGCGUCAUUUCAACCAUCAAGCCCCCGGCUUGUGUUGGGGACCUGCGGCUGCCCGCAGGCCCUGAAAAACAGUGGCGGGCUCGCUGUCACACCGAGCGUAGUAGCAUACAUUCUCGCUCAGGGCGUGCUGCGGGUUCCGGCCGUUAAACGACCUUCAUAACCCAAGGUUGACCUCGGAUCAGGUAGGAAGACCCGCUGAACUUAAGC